AUUGAACGCUGGCGGAAUGCUUUACACAUGCAAGUCGAACGGUAGAGGGGGCAACCUCUCGAGAGUGGCGAACGGGUGAGUAAUAUAUCGGAACGUGCCCAGUCGUGGGGGAUAACGUAGCGAAAGUUACGCUAAUACCGCAUACGAUCUACGGAUGAAAGCGGGGGAUCGCAAGACCUCGCGCGAUUGGAGCGGCCGAUAUCAGAUUAGGUAGUUGGUGGGGUAAAGGCUCACCAAGCCAACGAUCUGUAGCUGGUCCGAGAGGACGACCAGCCACACUGGAACUGAGACACGGUCCAGACUCCUACGGGAGGCAGCAGUGGGGAAUUUUGGACAAUGGACGCAAGUCUGAUCCAGCCAUUCCGCGUGCAGGAUGAAGGCCCUCGGGUUGUAAACUGCUUUUGUACGGAACGAAAAGGUUUCUAUUAAUACUAGGAGCUCAUGACGGUACCGUAAGAAUAAGCACCGGCUAACUACGUG
RNAcentral lists this ribosomal RNA (480 nucleotides) under uncultured bacterium. Its description in RNAcentral is "bacterial SSU rRNA". It matches the Rfam family "Bacterial small subunit ribosomal RNA", at positions 30 to 507 of the family's 1533-position model. The record is from RNAcentral.